This 903-nucleotide unclassified non-coding RNA is filed under the name Hevea brasiliensis (rubber tree). The record is from RNAcentral. Lineage: Eukaryota; Viridiplantae; Streptophyta; Magnoliopsida; Malpighiales; Euphorbiaceae.
AAGCUCUCCAGUCUCAACGGAUAUUUGCUUCGUUCGCAAAAUUUUAACUUUAAACCACCGAUAAAAGAGUUAUACUCAAAGCAGUCAUAGCCAGAGCCAAAGAAAUGGUUCGUAAACGUUUUCAAGAAGCUAAAACAGGCUUUGAAUAUCUUAAAACGGUGAAUUACGACAAGUACCUUAGGAAAGUAGGAUUGGGAAAAGAAGACUGGUACUUUUGGAAGCAAGUGGGCAAGGCUUUGCUCUGCACCUACACACUAUUUGGGGUUGCGUGGCUCUACAACGAAACAUCGCCGCUUGGUUGGUGGACGCUAAAGCCAAAGCCAAAGGAGGAGCGAGAGCUAGCUCACUUGUAUGAGAGGCGAGAGUUCCCAUAUCCAGGCGACACAGAAGCCAUGGAAGAGUUCAUUGCCAAGGGGGGAAUGAUCGGCACGACAAUUGGACCCAAAGGGAUUGUGGAAACGGAUAAAGAUGCGUAUAAUUAUCAGAAAGAGUUGCAGAACAAGAAGUUUGAGCAAGAGGCGCAGAAGCUGUGGCUGAGGAUGAGGAAUGAAGUCAUACAAGAGCUUCAAGACAAAGGGUAUGAUGUUGAGUGAGAAAGCCAUUAAGGACAAUCAUGGUAUGGGAGUUAAAGUGUUUGAUGGAAGCUUUUCGGUUGUGGGUUUGUGCUUGUGUACGUUUGAAUGCCUGAUGAAUGUUUGUGUUGAUGACAAGACUGAAUUGUGCACUCCUGUCUGGCAUGAUUUCCCCAAUAUGAUGUUUCAAAUGGAAAAGAGAGACAAUUGUGUUAAAGCAUUAGUAUUAGCAUGCAUGGUUUGAUGAUUAACUGUAACAGCAGAGUCCCUGUUAGCAACUGUGAUGCAUCAUGUAUGAAUAAUGGGUAGUCAUUAGAUUUUUUAUGCUUCU